ACAUGACCAAUGGGGGUCAAAGUCUAGUAUCUGUUCUUAGCAGCCAAAUAUCUCAUACGGGCGUUUAUUCAGACAGAAAAUGUUAAACAAAGAGUUGCAAGUUCGCGGAGUGCUUGCAGCCUGCUUCACCUCUGCCACCGGUCGCCGUGGUAUUGCAUUAUCUUCGGGAUCGGCACAAAAGUU
This is a small nuclear RNA of Dermacentor andersoni, 183 nucleotides long. RefSeq annotates it as U2 spliceosomal RNA. NCBI's taxonomy places the organism in Eukaryota, Metazoa, Arthropoda, Arachnida, Ixodida, Ixodidae. The record is from RefSeq and is a predicted model, not a curated record.